This 321-nucleotide long non-coding RNA is filed under the name Manacus vitellinus (golden-collared manakin). RNAcentral describes it as "lncRNA (ENSMVIG00005015113.1)". Lineage: Eukaryota; Metazoa; Chordata; Aves; Passeriformes; Pipridae. The record is from RNAcentral.
GUCUCCCUGGUCCCGCAGCCCCGUCCGUCCGGUCCCUCUGCUCCGCCGUGGCCACAAGGGGCCACCCGGGUGGACUCCAAACAAUAUGUUCUUGCCAAGUACCUGAUGGAGUUGUGCAUUGUGGACUAUGAUAUGGAUCACUUCCCUCCAUCCAGGAUUGCAGCAGCUGUUUUCUGUUUGCCUCUGAAACUCCUCAAUGGAUGCGAGUUGUUACCGUUUCUGCAACGCUACAUGUUUUUCCAGUGAGGGUGACCUUCUACCAAUUAUGCAGCAUAUGGCAAACAAUGUAGUCCUUGUAAAUAAGGAUGUUGCCACCAGAAG